Molecule: ribosomal RNA, 280 nt
Filed under: uncultured bacterium
Lineage: Bacteria
Description: partial 16S ribosomal RNA
Rfam family: Bacterial small subunit ribosomal RNA
Source: RNAcentral
CCGUUGCCGGCGACCGGCGCACGGGUGAGUAACACGUAUGCAACCUGCCCGUGGCAGGGGGGAGUAAGCGGGGGGAAACCCCGGUCUAAUACCGCGUAACGCUGCCUAGGGACAUCCCAAGGCCGCCAAAGGGAGCAAUCCCGGCCACGGAUGGGCAUGCGGCGCAUUAGCUAGUCGGCGGGGUAACGGCCCACCGAGGCGACGAUGCGUAGGGGUUCUGAGAGGAAGGCCCCCCACACUGGUACUGAGACACGGACCAGACUCCUACGGAAGGCAGCAG